AUGGAGGAGAGACUGGUCAUCUUGCCAAGGCCCUCCGGGAUGACACCUUCCAGUUGGUUUGCUGCGAAAUCGAUUGCUUCCAGUGCUGAGAGGUUGGCAAUCGACGGCGGGAUUAUCCCAGUGAACCUGUUCCUAUACAUUCUCAUGGUCUUCAGAUUUGACAAGCCUCCAAGCCAGGCAGGGAUUUCUCCUGUGAGCAAAUUUCGGUCAAGAUCGAUGCUCUCAAGACUUGUGCAGUUCUUCAGGUCAGAGUUUACAUCACUGUCAAGUGAAUUGCCGGAUAAGUUGAGAUGUUGUAGCCGAAAUAAACGACCGAUUGAUGAAGGUAUUUCACCAUGGAAAUUGUUCUGGCUGAGGUCUAGUAUUUUCAGAAACGUGAGGUUUCCAAUUGACGGGGUGAUUGUGCCGGCGAGGCCCUUCGAAGUGAGGUUAAGCACCGUAACUCUGUGCUUAUGCUCGAGGCUGCAACUGACACCUGGCCACGAGCAGAAAUCAGUAGUUGUGUUCCACGCAGCUAGGGCACCUUGCUGGUUGCUUAGACCUGCCCUGAGUGCCAGCAAGGUAUCCACAUCAGUCAUGUUGCUGAAUGUUCUCGCUGAUGCUGAUUGGAGUACAUAUGGCAACAGAAGCAGCAGCAGAACAGGGAACAUCGUUGACACUGGGAAUCAGGAAAGAAAUGAUCCGCCCGCUUCUGUAUUUCGAUGGCAAUGGUUAUGCGGAUUGCGGAACAUGUGUUUUCCGUAA
Molecule: ribosomal RNA, 744 nt
Filed under: Triticum aestivum (bread wheat)
Lineage: Eukaryota; Viridiplantae; Streptophyta; Magnoliopsida; Poales; Poaceae
Description: partial small subunit ribosomal RNA
Source: RNAcentral